CGCUUCGAGGAGCGUUGCGACGGUUUGUAUCAAUACACGGAAAACUUUCCGGAAAACCGCCAGGCUCGAAGCAUUCAAUCGGACGGAGCGACCAGCGCGGGUCAUUAAUCAAGCGCUUGUUGAACCACCGCAUCGAACGGCGCUCACGUCAA
Molecule: non-coding RNA, 152 nt
Filed under: Burkholderia sp.
Lineage: Bacteria; Pseudomonadati; Pseudomonadota; Betaproteobacteria; Burkholderiales; Burkholderiaceae
Also listed under: 1 other name
Description: SAH sequence
Rfam family: SAH (S-adenosyl-L-homocysteine) riboswitch aptamer
Source: RNAcentral